GACGUAGGGGGCGAGCGUUAUCCGGAAUUACUGGGCGUAAAGCGCAUGCAGGCGGUCUCUUAAGUUCCUGAUGACAGUUAUCGGCUUAACCGGUGAAGUAGUGGGAAAACUGAGAGACUUGAGAACGAGAGAGGGACAUGGAACUCCGAGUGAAGCAGUGAAAUGCGUAGAUAUUCGGAAGAACACCAAAGGCGAAGGCAAUGUCCUGGCUCGUUUCUGACGCUCAAGUGCGAAAGCCAGGGGAGCGAACGGG
Molecule: ribosomal RNA, 253 nt
Filed under: uncultured bacterium
Lineage: Bacteria
Description: partial 16S ribosomal RNA
Rfam family: Bacterial small subunit ribosomal RNA
Source: RNAcentral